AGUGAACGCUGGCGGUAGGCCUAACACAUGCAAGUCGAACGGCAGCACAGUAAGAGCUUGCUCUUACGGGUGGCGAGUGGCGGACGGGUGAGGAAUACAUCGGAACCUACUUUUUCGUGGGGGAUAACGUAGGGAAACUUACGCUAAUACAGCAUAUGACCUACGGGUGAAAGGAGGGGAUCUUCGGACCUUGUGCGAUUGAAUGAGCCGAUGUCGGAUUGGCUAGUUGGCGGGGUAAAGGCCCACCAAGGCGGCGAUCCGUAGCUGGUCUGAGAGGAUGGUCAGCCACACUGGAACUGAGACACGGUCCAGACUCCUACGAGAGGCAGCAGUGGGGAAUAUUGGACAAUGGGCGCAAGCCUGAUCCAGCCGUACCGCGUGGGUGAAGAAGGCCUUCGGGUUGUAAAGCCCUUUUGUUGGGAGAGAAAAGCAGCAGGUUAAUACCCCGCUGUUCUGACGGUACCCAAAGAAUAAGCACCGGCUAACUUCGUG
RNAcentral lists this ribosomal RNA (492 nucleotides) under uncultured bacterium. RNAcentral's name for it is "partial 16S ribosomal RNA". It matches the Rfam family "Bacterial small subunit ribosomal RNA", at positions 29 to 507 of the family's 1533-position model. The record is from RNAcentral.